GACGAACGCUGGCGGCGUGCUUAACACAUGCAAGUCGAACGGAAAGGCCCUGCUUUUGUGGGGUGCUCGAGUGGCGAACGGGUGAGUAACACGUGAGUAACCUGCCCUUGACUUUGGGAUAACUUCAGGAAACUGGGGCUAAUACCGGAUAGGAGCUCCUGCUGCAUGGUGGGGGUUGGAAAGUUUCGGCGGUUGGGGAUGGACUCGCGGCUUACCAGCUUGUUGGUGGGGUAGUGGCUUACCAAGGUUUUGACGGGUAGCCGGCCUGAGAGGGUGACCGGCCACAUUGGGACUGAGAUACGGCCCAGACUCCUACGGGAGGCAGCAGGGGGGAAUAUUGCACAAUGGGCGGAAGCCUGAUGCAGCAACGCCGCGUGCGGGAUGACGGCCUUCGGGUUGUAAACCGCUUUCGCCUGUGACGAAGCGUGAGUGACGGUAAUGGGUAAAGAAGCACCGGCUAACUACGUG
RNAcentral lists this ribosomal RNA (468 nucleotides) under uncultured bacterium. RNAcentral's name for it is "partial 16S ribosomal RNA". It matches the Rfam family "Bacterial small subunit ribosomal RNA", at positions 28 to 507 of the family's 1533-position model. The record is from RNAcentral.